UACAGAGGUCUCAAGCGUUGUUCGGAUUCAUUGGGCGUAAAGGGUGCGUAGGCGGCCGGGUAAGUCUGUUGUGAAAUCUCCGAGCUUAACUCGGAAACUGCAGUGGAUACUAUCCGGCUCGAGGAAUGGAGGGGAGACUGGAAUACUUGGUGUAGCAGUGAAAUGCGUAGAUAUCAAGUGGAACACCAGUGGCGAAGGCGAGUCUCUGGACAUUUCCUGACGCUGAGGCACGAAAGCCAGGGGAGCAAACGGG
This 253-nucleotide ribosomal RNA is filed under the name uncultured bacterium. RNAcentral's name for it is "partial 16S ribosomal RNA". It matches the Rfam family "Bacterial small subunit ribosomal RNA", at positions 524 to 776 of the family's 1533-position model. The record is from RNAcentral.